GGGCGCGUAGCUCAGUUGGUUAGAGUGUCUCGGUGACAUCGAGAAGGUCAGAGGUUCAAAUCCUCUCGCGCCCACCA
RNAcentral lists this transfer RNA (77 nucleotides) under Patescibacteria group bacterium. RNAcentral describes it as "tRNA-Val". It matches the Rfam family "tRNA". From Rfam's summary of the family: Transfer RNA (tRNA) molecules are approximately 80 nucleotides in length. The record is from RNAcentral.